GGACAUGGCUAUCCGGUCCAAACAAGAGCUGCAACCUCAACCAGCAGGACACCUCCAGCAGUUUGCUGAGUGGAAACUAUGCCAGGGCCUUUGUUGUUGCCUUAUUUAGAGGAGCUAAGUGGGGACAACUCCCAAGAGGCCCAGCUGUGUGACAGGCAGUGCCCUGCAGCCCACUGGCACUUCUUAGAGCCCAAAGCUAAUUGGCUUCUGUUUAUUACCGCCCAGUGUGACAACAAAGAAGACUCCAGGGAGAUAAAGAGGCCCACAGAGGGAAGGAGAAUGCUUUCUGCCUGGCGGCCUCCACUAAGGACACCUUGUCGGGAAGCCACUACAACAUGAACAGCUUCUUUGACAAUGAGACAGGUCAUUUCCUGGCAGCACCCCACCCACCUCAAAGAAGAUGAUGAGCUUCGAAGAACCUCCAUAUGGAGAUGGCUUCAAAUGUGGCAAACAAGCCACUCGGAUAAAGAAAAUAGCCUCGCUUCACAACAGACAACUUCUGCCAAAAAUGGGCAAACUUAAAUGCAGGACAAGUCGACUGCCGAACUCUGCCAAGACAGGGGUGUGGAAACUCAGGUGGAUACCUGAAAGACUGACUUGACCCGUGGAAGAUGGACGAAGAAGGCCCUAAGUGUCUGCAGGGGCUAGACCUGAGGAAAGGAAAGUGAAUGGGGGUGAUGGAGUCAUUGAGCCAUGAAAAAGAGUCUCCUUGUCAGCAAUGAUUCAGAUGAAGAAACUAGUUGACUGAGGGAAAAGAGUUGAAGUCUUGGUGGAAGGGUGUUGUUUCUUGCUGUGUUGUCGCUAUUGAAUACGUCUGUUACUGGUGACAUACUGUUCCCUAGGCAAAGAUGGUCACAUGACAAUCGAGGCACUGAUGUUCAGGCUUUGCAUGAUGAACUAUUUAGCAAUCAGCCCUGAAAUUUAGAUAAAUUCCCCCCUUCAUUACUGUGCAAAACCUAUCAAAGAUUUUUGGUCAUUAUUUUUCUAAUUUUAAUUGGGCUCUAAAAUGUGGUCCAUAGGAAUUUCUUUGGGAUUUUUUAGUUGGUUAUGUGGAGAAGCAUUAUAGCUUUGAGACUGAUUUGCUUCUGCAUGUCUUCUUUGAAUUUUGACAUGUAUACUUUGAAUUAAGAAGGGGAGGGCCUGUGGGGAAUUAUGGUUUUGGCCUGGCAUACAGUUGGUAUGAGAAGCAUGUGCCAGUGGACUUUUAGUUUAGAGACCUUAGCUCCUGAAGCACUGUGUCCCUUUCAGUGUGUCCCAACACUUAAAGAACUCCCUCAGACACUUGAACAUUCAAGCCACCUGUGUUCUCUGUCUUCCCUAGAAGUCAGGAAGACAUCCAGAAGCUUGGCAAACAUUUAAUUAAUUAGACAUUAAUUCUGUGUACCCUUAUAGCUUGCAGAUGUCAUUGUAUCCUGGCAAUUACAAUUGUAUUCUCUCUGGAAACUUCCAUCAUAUCCUGCUUCUGAUAAUGAUGUUAAAAUUCUUGUUGCAUGCUAUAAAUUUGUCACAUCCCUAAUUUUCAUGUAGCCCCUCUGACCCGUGCCUAAAAGAUGAAAUAUCCUUUGACCAUAAUCAGGUAUCACUGGCUUGGUAAGUAAGUGCUGAUGUUUACACCAAGACAAAGAACUUUUAAUUCCACUAAGGCUUGCUGAAAUUUACUGAUUCUAUUUUGAAGCCCCAACCCCUUCUCAUUCACUGCCCUUUCCUAAAUCAGUCACCCACCUCCACAUCCAUCAUGGUAGUCAGAACAAGGGAAUUAUUAAAAUAGAACAGGCACAUAUGAAGAAAUGACUCAGGGAGUAGAGGCUAGCACAUAGGCACAUGAAUCUGCAUUUAAAUUUUCAUCUCUGACCUCCCCCCAUAAACUCUGGGUCCCGUACCCCUUUUCCCAGGUACCCUUUUUCCAACUGGAGAAUGUCUUUCCCUGCUAUUGGAAACAAACGGUAACUUCUGCUGAAGGCAGUCUAGUCUCUUUCUGCCUUCUCCCUUUCUAUAUUGCUUUUUAAAUAUAACAGCAUCCAUGGAGUUAAACCUCCCUACCCACCUCUGAAAAGCCCACCUCUUCAGUCAUACCACAUAAAAGACUGCAGAUGUCCAAACUGCAUCAGCUAAUUCUCACUUACACUCAUGGUGUUUAGGAUGGUACUAGAAUAAGGGUCUUUAACAUCCUGUUUUUAUAGAGCCGUCAAUUUUCUUCACGGUUACUGAACAUCCAAACAUGGUUUCUAUGAACAGGUUCAAAGUCUUUUCCUGACCUCACUUAAAAUGACAUCUCUACUUCCAUUGUCAGUUAUCCAUGACUUCCACUUCCGUAAGAAAGAAAGACAUUUUUCUCAGUGAAUUAUAUAAGAUCCGUAUUACUCUGCUGUUGAGUUUUAGAAACUCCAUCUUACAUAAUGCCUGUUGCUCAACUGAACUCUCCUUGUUUGCCGCUGCUCCAAUGCAUUAUGCUCAUCAGAGCCUAUGAAACACCUGGUCAGUCCCUCACAUCCUGUUCCUGAGAUCUAUGUUUCUAAACAACAACUACUUACCAAUUAGGCAUCUGCAGUAAGAGGCUUCAUUUUUAACAAAAUAAUGAGAUGUAAAAAUAGAGUUUCUGCUGUCACUCUAAACCAUGAAACCUUCUGAAAAUCAGACCCUGUUUAAAUGAUGCUUGACAGACAAUGUGAUUUCGCAAGGUUCAGUUUACACAGAGAAUAUAAGAGAAUCUUCUGGAGUUCAAAGACAAAUGAAAUCAAUUCCAUUGAAUUUAUUUAUUUAUUUUUAAUCAAAGAAGGAAAAAAUGGCUGGAACACAACACAACAUGGCUGGAAACAAUGACACAUCUUCAACACCAGCACUUGGAAUGUGUGACUCUGUUGCAUCUAUUCAAUAGGCCAUAAGAUUACAGAAUUAUAUUGCAUAAUCCUAAUUUGAUUCUUACAUCCCCUUAUGAAAAAAUUCCUAAUUCUGGACGUACAUUUUAUCCAACAUGAACUAUAUUCUUUGAAAUUCAUUUAUUAUAUGGUGCUUUCAGAUUUGGAACCCAUAUUUACUUAUUUUCAGAAAAUCCAUUGGGUACUCCAAUUUGAUUCAUAUGUGGAAUGAUUGUGAAAUAAUAAAUGCCAUUAAACUCUGGAGUCUUAAAUGAUUCACUAGUGAUAUAUUGCUGCAGUUAGAUAUAGCACUAUUUUUUAACAUCUAUGGAGAGAACUAUUGAAAUAUUUCUAGGUAUUAAAAAAUUAGGUUUUGAAUACUUUGCUGGUAUUUGUGACUUUUAUCUUAAAACACAUAUGAAGCUUUGUUUAUAAUGCCAUAUUUUUACUACAUUAAAACUUUGUGUAUUUAUGAAAACAUCACUUUAUCAAUGGAUUUUUUUCUGUUUUAUAGUUUGAGCUAAAUAUUUAUCAAGUUUAUUUUCAGUAGACUCAAAUCUGUUUUGAUGUCUUGUUUUUCCUACUUUGGUGAUCAUGGAACUAUAAUCAAUUUUUUUCUCAAGAUAUUUUCUCAACAAUCACAACUUAACUCCUUUGCUUCUAUUAUUAGUGUUUUGUUGUUUCUUUUCUACUGUACAAUGUAUGCUUCAAGUAUAGAAUUCUUUCUCUGACUUAAGGCGUAUGAUAUGUGUUUCAUUAACUAAUUUAUGUAAGAAUAACCCUUCUUUUAAAAAAAUAUGCUUUCCUUAUUCUACAAUAUUAAAUCAGUGAUAUUUUAAUUUUAUUUUUAAAAUUGUUAUCACAUUUACA
Meriones unguiculatus (Mongolian gerbil) is the source of this 3725-nucleotide long non-coding RNA. RefSeq lists it as uncharacterized. The transcript is spliced from 3 exons. Lineage: Eukaryota; Metazoa; Chordata; Mammalia; Rodentia; Muridae. The record is from RefSeq and is a predicted model, not a curated record.